GUGCAUGGACGAUCCGCGUCGGUCGCGCUGGGUGGUAUGGUUCCGCAGAGGCCGGUUCUUGUGCUGCCUACCCCUUCAGGGGAAGAGUUCCAAACUCGAUGUAAGCCUCCAUCCGGCGCCCCCCCAGAGGGCGCGGGAGGACAACGGAGCACCCCCCGCGUUCCACCGAGCCUCCUCGGUCGCGUGGCCCGCGGGGACGUGCGAUGCUCUAGGACCCAGCGAACGCCGUGGGCGAGGACUCACGUCCCGGUCCCAAGUGAAGCAACGGUAUAACGCAGGACGGCCGCUCCCGCCCCCCGACCGCCCCGGCGGCGCGGGGCGAAGGCGCGGCGUCGCUGAGGAAUGCUACCUGGUGAUCCUGC
Molecule: unclassified non-coding RNA, 362 nt
Filed under: Acacia adunca
Lineage: Eukaryota; Viridiplantae; Streptophyta; Magnoliopsida; Fabales; Fabaceae
Description: partial contains external transcribed spacer and 18S ribosomal RNA
Source: RNAcentral